Heterocephalus glaber (naked mole-rat) is the source of this 135-nucleotide small nuclear RNA. Its record names the gene U4. It matches the Rfam family "U4 spliceosomal RNA". From Rfam's summary of the family: U4 small nuclear RNA (U4 snRNA) is a component of the major U2-dependent spliceosome. The record is from Ensembl. NCBI's taxonomy places the organism in Eukaryota, Metazoa, Chordata, Mammalia, Rodentia, Bathyergidae.
AGUUUUGCUCAGGGGCAGUAUUAUAGCCAAUGAAGUUUAUCUAAGGUAUAAUUAUUGCUAAUUGAAAACAUUAUUGGUGUAUAGAAAAAGCAACUGAUUUUUUUAAUGUUGAUUUUGUAUCCUGCUACUUUGCUG